AAGUCGUAACAAGGUUUCCGUAGGUGAACCUGCGGAAGGAUCAUUAACACGUAUGAAGCAGUGGCAUGGCUUCCCCAAGCAGUUAGUGAAUGACAGUGUCACUGACUGUGUAAGGAUAACGCCUCACGGUUGCUAGAGGUCGAUGUCACAGGGUCACCACGCCCCUUAAUCACUCCACUUGAAAAUGCCCCGCCUAGUGGUAACGCGCUAGGUAAAAAAAACCGAACAACUGUUAACAAUGGAUAUCUUGGUUCUC
RNAcentral lists this unclassified non-coding RNA (256 nucleotides) under fungal sp. RNAcentral describes it as "partial internal transcribed spacer region". The stretch from base 1 to 46 matches the Rfam family "Eukaryotic small subunit ribosomal RNA", at positions 1786 to 1831 of the family's 1831-position model. The record is from RNAcentral. Lineage: Eukaryota; Fungi.